Molecule: long non-coding RNA, 209 nt
Filed under: Medicago truncatula (barrel medic)
Lineage: Eukaryota; Viridiplantae; Streptophyta; Magnoliopsida; Fabales; Fabaceae
Description: long non-coding RNA (MTRU_LNC005272)
Source: RNAcentral
CUAGAUACUCCCAAAAAAUUCACAUCUAAACAAUAUAUGAUCAAUAAUUUCCUCAUUUCCGCAUUCACUCAUGCACAAAGUUGCAUUAGUUUGAAGAAUUCAUUGCCCAGUCGAAUUAUCCUUUAUAGGGAUUCAUUAUAUAAGGUGAAUAAAUGGGGUGUCCGAGGUUCGAACCCCGGCCCCUGCAUAUAAUAAUGCAUUGUCCUACC